This 300-nucleotide ribosomal RNA is filed under the name uncultured bacterium. Its description in RNAcentral is "bacterial SSU rRNA". It matches the Rfam family "Bacterial small subunit ribosomal RNA", at positions 333 to 631 of the family's 1533-position model. The record is from RNAcentral.
UGGUUCCUACGGGACGCAGCAGUGAGGAAUAUUGGUCAAUGGGAGAGAUCCUGAACCAGCCACGCCGCGUGAGGGAAGACGGCCCUAUGGGUUGUAAACCUCUUUUGUCGGAGAACAAAACCCGGGACGUGUCCCGGACUGCGUGUAUCCGAAGAAAAAGCAUCGGCUAACUCCGUGCCAGCAGCCGCGGUAAUACGGAGGAUGCGAGCGUUAUCCGGAUUUAUCGGGUUUAAAGGGUGCGUAGGCGGGAUGCCAAGUCAGCGGUCAAAUACGGGGGCUCAACCUGCGUCCGCCGUUGAA